UAGCGGAGGAAAAGAAACUAACAAGGAUUCCCCUAGUAGCGGCGAGCGAAGCGGGAAGAGCUCAAAUUUAUAAUCUGGCACUUUCGGUGUCCGAGUUGUAAUCUCUAGAAAUGUUUUCCGCGUUGGACCGCACACAAGUCUGUUGGAAUACAGCGGCAUAGUGGUGAGACCCCCGUAUAUGGUGCGGACGCCCAGCGCUUUGUGAUACAUUUUCGAAGAGUCGAGUUGUUUGGGAAUGCAGCUCAAAUUGGGUGGUAAAUUCCAUCUAAAGCUAAAUAUUGGCGAGAGACCGAUAGCGAACAAGUACCGUGAGGGAAAGAUGAAAAGCACUUUGGAAAGAGAGUUAACAGUACGUGAAAUUGUUGGAAGGGAAACGCUUGAAGUCAGACUUGCUUGCCGAGCAAUCGGUUUGCAGGCCAGCAUCAGUUUUCCGGGAUGGAUAAUGGUAGAGAGAAGGUAGCAGUUUCGGCUGUGUUAUAGCUCUCUGCUGGAUACAUCUUGGGGGACUGAGGAACGCAGUGUGCCUUUUGGCGGGGGUUUCGACCUCUUCACACUUAGGAUGCUGGUGGAAUGGCUUUAAACGACCCGUCUUGAAACACGGACCAAGGAGUCUAACAUGCUUGCGAGUAUUUGGGUGUCAAACCCGGAUGCGUAAUGAAAGUGAAUGGAGGUGGGAACCGCAAGGUGCACCAUCGACCGAUCUGGAUUUUUAAUGAUGGAUUUGAGUAAGAGCACGUAUGUUGGGACCCGAAAGAUGGUGAACUAUGCCUGAAUAGGGCGAAGCCAGAGGAAACUCUGGUGGAGGCUCGUAGCGGUUCUGACGUGCAAAUCGAUCGUCAAAUUUGGGUAUAGGGC
This 855-nucleotide ribosomal RNA is filed under the name Rhodotorula mucilaginosa. Its description in RNAcentral is "partial large subunit ribosomal RNA". It matches the Rfam family "Eukaryotic large subunit ribosomal RNA", at positions 48 to 923 of the family's 3401-position model. Lineage: Eukaryota; Fungi; Basidiomycota; Microbotryomycetes; Sporidiobolales; Sporidiobolaceae. The record is from RNAcentral.